CCCAGAGAAUCGGGGAAUUAGGGUAGAAGGUUCUUCCAAGGAAUAUAUUAGAGUGCAGGGAGAAACUGGGAAGUGGGGAACAGGGAAGUUGCAAAACAGUGUGUGGGUGAAAUAAUGAACCCUAAAAAUGGAUAAUUAGGGUAGCAGAGGGAGAAUAACAAGAAAAAUCAAAGAAAAUUGAAUUGAAAAUUUCAGUUUUUCUCUUCUCAGGAGAAAUUUUAAUAAGACGUAAAGACGAUACAUGUUUAUACGCAUGUAAGACGGCGACGUGAGACCUGCAGCUAAACUAGCUUGCCUUCUAUUUACAUUCGUUUCAAUUUAAUACAGUGUUGAAAAAUUAAAACAGACUUUACAAAUUCACCCUUGCUAAUCUGUGCUAGAAAAACUACCUAUCACGGCUCGAUAUGCUAGCGUACUACACGAGACGUGAAAAUACGUAUUUUGCCGUUGUCAACAGAGCUUGGACAACAGUGCAUUUUUUAAGGAUUCUUCAGUGGUGGAGCAUAACUGCCUAAGGGCCUUUUUUUCUUGCCAUCCCCCCCUGGAUAGUAUGCGAUCGCCGAAGGUGUAAGCCAAGUACAGUACCACCGGCGCGAGUUAGCUGGGGGGGGGGCAUUUUUAAAACAUGGGUUUCUGAAAUAGCAUUUCCUGUAUUCUGAGAACACAUUUUAAAAAAAUUUCAGCUUCUCAAAACAAAG
Paramuricea clavata is the source of this 698-nucleotide non-coding RNA. NCBI's taxonomy places the organism in Eukaryota, Metazoa, Cnidaria, Anthozoa, Malacalcyonacea, Plexauridae. The record is from the annotation of a GenBank genome assembly.